UGGGGGAUAUUGCACAAUGGGCGAAAGCCUGAUGCAGCGACGCCGCGUGGGGGAUGAAGGCUUUCGGGUUGUAAACCUCUUUCGCUAUCGAACAAGGCCCGCUUAGGGUGGGUUGAGGGUAGGUGGAGAAGAAGCGCCGGCUAACUACGUGCCAGCAGCCGCGGUAAUACGUAGGGCGCGAGCGUUGUCCGGAAUUAUUGGGCGUAAAGGGCUUGUAGGCGGCUUGUUGCGCCUGCUGGUAAAACGCGGGGCUUAACUUCGCGCGUGCAGUGGGUACGGGCAGGCUUGAGUGUGGUAGGGGUGACUGGAAUUCCAGGUGUAGCGGUGGAAUGCGCAGAUAUCUGGAGGAACACCGAUGGCGAAGGCAGGUCACUGGGCCAUUACUGACGCUGAGGAGCGAAAGCAUGGGUAGCGAACAGG
RNAcentral lists this ribosomal RNA (420 nucleotides) under bacterium. RNAcentral describes it as "partial 16S ribosomal RNA". It matches the Rfam family "Bacterial small subunit ribosomal RNA", at positions 355 to 776 of the family's 1533-position model. The record is from RNAcentral.